CCCUUAGAUGUUCUGGGCCGCACACGCGCUACACUGAAGGAGGCAGCGUGUACUCCUGGAUCGAAAGAUUUGGGUAACCCGCGAAUCUCCUUCGUGCUAGGGAUUGAGGUUUGCAAUUAUCCUUCAUGAACGAGGAAUUCCCAGUAAGUGCAAGUCAUAAGCUUGCGCUGACUACGUCCCUGCCCUUUGUACACACCGCCCGUCGCUACUACCGAUUGAACGAUUUAGUGAGGACUUCGGACUGGGACCGAUGCGGCUUUCGGGCUGCGUCGGUAUUCUGGAAAGAUGUCCAAACUGUAUCAUUUAGAGGAAGUAAAANUCGUANCA
Molecule: ribosomal RNA, 327 nt
Filed under: uncultured eukaryote
Lineage: Eukaryota
Description: partial 18S ribosomal RNA
Rfam family: Eukaryotic small subunit ribosomal RNA
Source: RNAcentral